This 253-nucleotide ribosomal RNA is filed under the name uncultured bacterium. Its description in RNAcentral is "partial 16S ribosomal RNA". It matches the Rfam family "Bacterial small subunit ribosomal RNA", at positions 524 to 776 of the family's 1533-position model. The record is from RNAcentral.
UACGUAGGUGGCAAGCGUUAUCCGGAUUUACUGGGUGUAAAGGGCGUGUAGGCGGGAAAGCAAGUCAGAUGUGAAAACCAUGGGCUCAACCUGUGGCCUGCAUUUGAAACUGUUUUUCUUGAGUACUGGAGAGGCAGACGGAAUUCCUAGUGUAGCGGUGAAAUGCGUAGAUAUUAGGAGGAACACCAGUGGCGAAGGCGGUCUGCUGGACAGCAACUGACGCUGAGGCGCGAAAGCGUGGGGAGCGAACAGG